RNAcentral lists this ribosomal RNA (634 nucleotides) under Pseudoalteromonas sp. 10-33. Its description in RNAcentral is "bacterial LSU rRNA". It matches the Rfam family "Bacterial large subunit ribosomal RNA", at positions 2317 to 2925 of the family's 2925-position model. The record is from RNAcentral. Lineage: Bacteria; Pseudomonadati; Pseudomonadota; Gammaproteobacteria; Alteromonadales; Pseudoalteromonadaceae.
UUGGCUAAGUACGGUCGGACAUCGUACGGUUAGUGUAAUGGUAGAAGCCAGCUUAACUGCGAGACAGACACGUCGAGCAGGUACGAAAGUAGGUCAUAGUGAUCCGGUGGUUCUGAAUGGAAGGGCCAUCGCUCAACGGAUAAAAGGUACUCCGGGGAUAACAGGCUGAUACCGCCCAAGAGUUCAUAUCGACGGCGGUGUUUGGCACCUCGAUGUCGGCUCAUCACAUCCUGGGGCUGAAGUCGGUCCCAAGGGUAUGGCUGUUCGCCAUUUAAAGUGGUACGCGAGCUGGGUUUAGAACGUCGUGAGACAGUUCGGUCCCUAUCUGCCGUGGGCGUUUGAGAAUUGAGAGGGGUUGCUCCUAGUACGAGAGGACCGGAGUGAACGAACCGCUGGUGUUCGGGUUGUCAUGCCAAUGGCAUUGCCCGGUAGCUACGUUCGGAACUGAUAAGCGCUGAAAGCAUCUAAGCGCGAAGCAGGCCUCGAGAUGAGUUCUCACUAGACUUUUAAAGUCUCUGAAGGGCCGUUGAAGACUACAACGUUGAUAGGCAAGAUGUGGAAGUGGUGUGAGCCAUUAAGCUAACUUGUACUAAUUACCCGUGAGGCUUAACCAUACAACGCCAAACGCGUUUUG